RNAcentral lists this long non-coding RNA (247 nucleotides) under Ictidomys tridecemlineatus (thirteen-lined ground squirrel). Its description in RNAcentral is "lncRNA (ENSSTOG00000029340.1)". Lineage: Eukaryota; Metazoa; Chordata; Mammalia; Rodentia; Sciuridae. The record is from RNAcentral.
UGCCUGUAAGCAAUGGAUUCAUCAAAAUCCUUUCUUCUGAAUAAAAGAAGAGCCCCUUAAUGGUGCCCAUUCAGUGUCAUUAAUGUGGAGGAGUUGUUUUAUAUACCACUUGAGUCUCCUGUUUCAGCCUCAUCACUCUUGCCUGUCACUCUAGUCUUCAAGCUGCUCCUGGAACUUAUCGGUCAUGCCAUGAACAGCAAUUUUAGGGUUUUGAGAGAGCUUCUUGCUGACCUUUUUGUUCACUUGG